This 984-nucleotide long non-coding RNA is filed under the name Vulpes vulpes (red fox). RNAcentral's name for it is "lncRNA (ENSVVUG00000015222.1)". Lineage: Eukaryota; Metazoa; Chordata; Mammalia; Carnivora; Canidae. The record is from RNAcentral.
AUGGCGGAAAAGGAGAGUGAGGCUGGGAGAAGUGAACGGGGUCUGUCCCUCAUGAGACGGAGGAAUGGGUGCCAGGCCAAGAACUGGGUUAGAUCUUUCUUCUGUGGUCCUGCACACCCUCCUCUCUCCGCGUCACAGAAUCCUCAGAACUGGAGCAGCAACUCCAAGUUUGCACGCUCACCCCGCGCAGAGCGCCAGACGGGGUGGUGUCCGGCGGGGACCACCAGCUGCGGGACACCGCGGAGGUCAAGCCCACGCACCCACCGGGCGCUCAGGAGUCUGGCCACAGCGGCGGGGAGCUACAGGACCCCCAAACCUAGGACCUUGUAGGCUCCUGAAGAGCAAACCGUGGCGAUGUCACCUCUGGGCAAAGGACUCUGAAUCCUGCUGACUGGUACCUCCGUCCUCCUCCUUCACAUCCCCAGGAGACUAGAGGAAGGCAACAGAGAAUGAGCAGAAAUCACGUGUCAGGCUCCAACUGGAUGAAUUACCCCUAUAGGGGCCUGGAGCGGGGGGCUCAGUAAGAAAUAGGCCACCCUUGGCCCUAGGAGAAGAAGGAGCAGCAGGCCAGAAGAAAGGGCUACUGGUGCUAGGUUGGCAGGUUGUGACCAAUGCAGUAGGGGGCUUGGGAUGGCCACCCAUGGUCUAGAACCCUACGGGUGUUCUUGAUUUUCUGCUGAUAAAGUGUUUUCUAAUUGUUUUGGAUGCAAUAUUCUUGAAUCCUUGACCAGAAAGCUCCUGGAGGCCAGGUCUUUCUGUUGGGGUAUCCACCCCACACCACCAACCAGCAGAAGCCACACUUGGAGCAAACACUGGAGGUGCUUAUUGACCCAGCAGAGCUGUGUUUUGUGCCCUGAAUGUGUCUCCCCACGAGCUUCAUAUGUUGAGAUCCUAAGACCCAGAGUGAUGGUAUUAGAGGCUGGGCCUUGGGGACAUGAUUAGGUCAGGAGCCUCAUGAAUGGAUUAGACACCCCCCCCCCCCCC